AACAUCGCGCACCUGCGGGAACCUGCGGAGGGAUCAUUACAGAGUUGCAAAACUCCCUAAACCAUUGUGAACGUUACCUAAACCGUUGCCUCGGCGGGCGGCCCGGGUCCUUCCCGGCGCCCCUCGGCCCUCGCGGGCGCCCGCCGGAGGUAAACCAAACUAUUGCAUUGUAUGGCCUCUCUGAGUCUUCUGUACUGAAUAAGUCAAAACUUUUAACAACGGAUCUCAGAUCGGAAGAGC
Molecule: unclassified non-coding RNA, 240 nt
Filed under: soil metagenome
Description: partial contains 5.8S ribosomal RNA, internal transcribed spacer 2, and large subunit ribosomal RNA
Source: RNAcentral